This 220-nucleotide ribosomal RNA is filed under the name Diaporthe sp. CLS-2. RNAcentral's name for it is "partial 18S ribosomal RNA". It matches the Rfam family "Eukaryotic small subunit ribosomal RNA", at positions 1613 to 1830 of the family's 1831-position model. The record is from RNAcentral. Lineage: Eukaryota; Fungi; Ascomycota; Sordariomycetes; Diaporthales; Diaporthaceae.
CCUAGUAAGCGCAAGUCAUCAGCUUGCGUUGAUUACGUCCCUGCCCUUUGUACACACCGCCCGUCGCUACUACCGAUUGAAUGGUUCAGUGAGGCUUUCGGACUGGCCCAGGGAGGUCGGCAACGACCACCCCAGGGCGGAAAGUUAUCCAAACUCGAUCAUUUAGAGGAAGUAAAAGUCGUAACAAGGUCUCCGUUGGUGAACCAGCGGAGGGAUCAUU